RNAcentral lists this unclassified non-coding RNA (585 nucleotides) under Hevea brasiliensis (rubber tree). The record is from RNAcentral. Lineage: Eukaryota; Viridiplantae; Streptophyta; Magnoliopsida; Malpighiales; Euphorbiaceae.
GAAUUAUAAUAUUUAAUCAGGCCCUGUUGUUAAGGAUUUCGAGGGGUCUGGAGCGGGGGUUUUUCGUAGGUUACGUUCAUUUCCCACAUAUGAAUGGGCCUUGAUUAUUUGCCACCAACCAGGCCUCAGGCCCUGUAAAAAUGACAGGUGUGUGACAAGAUUUCGUGAUGGGAUUUUUUUUACAAGUUUGGUCAGCUUGUGAAUUGUGACUUGUGAGCAUUGCCCUCUACUCUAGUCGAAAGGGUUGUGGUGGGGCAGCCAGGCUUGAGCUGCACACUUUUGACGAAGCCCACUUGAGACUACUAACAGGAUGCCUGAUAUGUAAUUCCGUUGUCUAAUAUUCGAGUUCGCAUCCACUAGAAAAUUUUUCUUUUGGCCCAUGGGAAGCCCAAUUAACAUUGGAGAAGACGAUUUAGGGCGUGAAAGCAGUUGUUUCUAAUUAGCAGAAGGCCACCUGGUGUGAAGAAGAUGCACAGUUUCACGGGCCCUGUACUUACGAAUGUAUGGCACUGGACUCUUUUAAGAUAAGUGUACUAAAAAAAUCUCAAAGUAAUCUAUUGAGAAAAAUGAGUAUAUUAACGUGAG